RNAcentral lists this long non-coding RNA (304 nucleotides) under Elaeis guineensis (African oil palm). RNAcentral's name for it is "long non-coding RNA (EGUI_LNC056650)". Lineage: Eukaryota; Viridiplantae; Streptophyta; Magnoliopsida; Arecales; Arecaceae. The record is from RNAcentral.
UCCAAAUAAACAACUAGAGAGCUGGUGAGCUAAAUGAUCUACAUUUUCAAACAAGAAAAAUCAGGCAUCAGGACAACAAGCUAAACUUCAACUAAACACUUGAAGAGCCAAAUCACCCACCUUUUUAGGUGAGCAAAUAAGACAUUAAGAUUGGAAGCUGAAAUACACAAUGACUACAAAGUCCGCAUGACCCAUCGAUCAGAAUUCGACUAUGAACACAAGACAAAGGUCCGAAUUGACCAUAGAUGCACCCUAGAAAAUCUAUUCAAAGGCUCCAAUCUUACCACGUUCUAAAUUGGGACCC